UAUUAAAAAUUCUAUCCAUUCCUAUAGUUAAAAAUUGGCGUGUAUGAUGAAAUAACCAGAUGGUGACAUGUGGUGUGCCAUGUGUAUUUCAUGCUAACGUACAAGGAUCAAUUCUUAACAAUAUAAAUGGAUAAAAUUUUUAAUA
This is a non-coding RNA of Gossypium hirsutum (cotton), 145 nucleotides long. The record is from Rfam. NCBI's taxonomy places the organism in Eukaryota, Viridiplantae, Streptophyta, Magnoliopsida, Malvales, Malvaceae.